Molecule: ribosomal RNA, 253 nt
Filed under: uncultured bacterium
Lineage: Bacteria
Description: partial 16S ribosomal RNA
Rfam family: Bacterial small subunit ribosomal RNA
Source: RNAcentral
UACGGAGGGUGCAAGCGUUAUCCGGAUUCACUGGGUUUAAAGGGUGCGUAGGUGGGCAAGUAAGUCAGUGGUGAAAUCUCCGGGCUUAACCCGGAAACUGCCAUUGAUACUAUUUGUCUCGAAUACUGUGGAGGUCAGCGGAAUAUGUCAUGUAGCGGUGAAAUGCUUAGAUAUGACAUAGAACACCAAUUGCGAAGGCAGCUGGCUACACAAAUAUUGACACUGAGGCACGAAAGCGUGGGGAUCAAACAGG